Molecule: non-coding RNA, 1098 nt
Organism: Heterocephalus glaber (naked mole-rat)
Lineage: Eukaryota; Metazoa; Chordata; Mammalia; Rodentia; Bathyergidae
Source: RefSeq, a predicted model, not a curated record
GCCACGCCUCAAGAGCUCCUUUUACAUCCUGGCCUGGGCGUGCCUCUUCCCAAGAGCACAAUGGCCAGUCUGUGGUCGGGGGCACCCGCCAGUCAGGGGGGCUGGCACACUGCCAGGUACGAGUCCCUUACCGCAGCCUCAAACAGGAACCAGCGCUGCCAGCAGGGAGUGGAGUCUGCAGGCUUUCCUGCAUUUUAACCCUGAAGGAACAGAGGAGCAAUUACAUCUCUGAGGGAAAAGCAAAGGGGGCUGGGUCAUCAGGCCUGGCUGGCUUCAUGGAAAUUUAGGCAACAUCCUUCCCCUGCUGCAGCAAUGAGUGUUGAGCUCCUGACCCCUUCCUAUUCUCGGUGUCCGAUUCCAACUCCUUAUGCCAAAUAGAAGAAGAAAUGCUGUCCCAAAGGCUGAGAAUUUAAAAACCACCGAUGUCCCAGCAGACCUCUGGCAACUGGCUCAUUAGAAAUGUCUGGCUAUGGUUAAGGGUGUGAGUGCUACACCUGCCCUAGUGCGGGUAGCCUGCCUAAAAUAUAAAGUAAGAGAAAGAAGGCUACGGCGCUCUUGCCUGCCUGCCUGCCCGCCAUGGACUGUUUCUCCUCUGCCCUGCCCCUCUGCCAGGCCACCCUGCCCUGGAGCCAGCCAGCUGUAGACCGAAACCUCUGCAAACGGCUACGUGGCUUAUUUGGAAGUUUUUUCAACUGUUUCUAGUCUCAAAAAAUAAAAACAAAGCCAUGUGUAAGUGAAUCUGUGCAGUACAAACUCAUGUUGUUCCAGGCCCACUGUAUAUCAUCCGUCCACCUUCCAUCCACCAUCCGUCCACCUUCCAUCCUAUGUGCUGUUUCUCUGGAGAACCCUGACCAACACCCAGGCUAACCCUACGCAAAGUUACACAAGGGCAAUGUGCACCUAAUAUCCCUGCGACCUCCUUCCCCGGCACUCCAGCGCUCUCUAGGGCCGUAAAGGGUGACCGGCAUCCGGGCCCUGCAGGUGACCUUCCGGUGGAAACGCAGCCUCUUCCUGAGCGCCACCCUUCACAGCUGUGUCCCUCAGGACACACCCCCUAGUUUGCAGGCAUAGCCACCCGUCCAGCCACCCCCACAUUUA